RNAcentral lists this ribosomal RNA (250 nucleotides) under uncultured prokaryote. RNAcentral describes it as "partial 16S ribosomal RNA". It matches the Rfam family "Bacterial small subunit ribosomal RNA", at positions 524 to 773 of the family's 1533-position model. The record is from RNAcentral.
UACGUAUGGUGCAAGCGUUAUCCGGAUUUACUGGGUGUAAAGGGAGCGUAGACGGCGAGGCAAGUCUGAAGUGAAAGCUCGGGGCUCAACCCCGGAACUGCUUUGGAAACUGUUUUGCUAGAGUGCAGGAGAGGCAAGUGGAAUUCCUAGUGUAGCGGUGAAAUGCGUAGAUAUUAGGAGGAACACCAGUGGCGAAGGCGGCUUGCUGGACUGUAACUGACGUUGAGGCUCGAAAGCGUGGGGAGCAAAC